ACCACAUAACACCGAGAGUGAAAAUAAUUAGGCUUGUGCUUUCGCUUAAUUGGGUAGCUACUUGGAACGUGUAAGAGUCACGUGUGUCGAGUGCUAAUGUGUGUGCAUUGCGUUGCAGGACGCGAUGGCACCACCAAGGAGAGUUACGAGGUCUACACCGGCGGAGCUUCGGGAGGAGCCCGGGUAGUCGGGGUCGAACGAAGUACGCGAGUUGCGAGCCCAGGUAGCGGCUUUGGCCGGGGCUAUGCGACAGCAAGGGGAGCAGAUUGGACAGCUCCACGAGAUGAUGGCGCAACAGUCGGCGGCGACAUCAAUGCCGAGGGAUCCACCCCCACCGGCUGCUCCUGUAGCACCACCUCCUGCAGUGGCGGCGGCGCCAGUGACGAUGGUUCCUCCGACGGCAUCAGGUUCAUCGGCCCCUAUUCCCGAUGUGCUUGAG
This 439-nucleotide long non-coding RNA is filed under the name Ananas comosus (pineapple). RNAcentral's name for it is "long non-coding RNA (ACOM_LNC031616)". Lineage: Eukaryota; Viridiplantae; Streptophyta; Magnoliopsida; Poales; Bromeliaceae. The record is from RNAcentral.